This 484-nucleotide ribosomal RNA is filed under the name uncultured bacterium. RNAcentral's name for it is "partial 16S ribosomal RNA". It matches the Rfam family "Bacterial small subunit ribosomal RNA", at positions 30 to 507 of the family's 1533-position model. The record is from RNAcentral.
AUUGAACGCUGGCGGCAGGCCUAACACAUGCAAGUCGAGCGGAUGAAGGGAGCUUGCUCCUGGAUUCAGCGGCGGACGGGUGGGUAAUGCCUAGGAAUCUGCCUGGUAGUGGGGGAUAACGUCCGGAAACGGGCGCUAAUACCGCAUACGUCCUGAGGGAGAAAGUGGGGGAUCUUCGGACCUCACGCUAUCAGAUGAGCCUAGGUCGGAUUAGCUAGUUGGUGGGGUAAAGGCCUACCAAGGCGACGAUCCGUAGCUGGUCUGAGAGGAUGAUCAGUCACACGGGAACUGGGACACGGUCCAGACUCCUACGGGAGGCAGCAGUGGGGAAUAUUGGACAAUGGGCGAAAGCCUGAUCCAGCCAUGCCGCGUGUGUGAAGAAGGUCUUCGGAUUGUAAAGCACUUUAAGUUGGGAGGAAGGGCAGUAAGUUAAUACCUUGCUGUUUUGACGUUACCAACAGAAUAAGCACCGGCUAACUUCGUG